Molecule: long non-coding RNA, 248 nt
Filed under: Homo sapiens (human)
Lineage: Eukaryota; Metazoa; Chordata; Mammalia; Primates; Hominidae
Description: HSALNT0244945
Source: RNAcentral
GGUUAGUUUAAACAACUUCUACUUCCUUUUUGUUUACAUAUUUGUUACCAAGUUAUUUGGAGCAUAAAUUCAUAACUGUUACAUGAUUGCUGUGGAGGGUAUCUUUUAUAAAUACUGGGUAUCUCUGGUUCUGCUUAAUGCUAUUUGAAAACAUAGUUGACCCUUGAACAACACAGAUCUGAACUACGUGAGUUCACUUACACUCAGAUUUUCUUCCGCCUCUGCCCCCUGAGAGAGCAAGACCAACC